RNAcentral lists this ribosomal RNA (1052 nucleotides) under uncultured Corynebacterium sp. RNAcentral's name for it is "bacterial SSU rRNA". It matches the Rfam family "Bacterial small subunit ribosomal RNA", at positions 333 to 1394 of the family's 1533-position model. Lineage: Bacteria; Bacillati; Actinomycetota; Actinomycetes; Mycobacteriales; Corynebacteriaceae. The record is from RNAcentral.
AGAUUCCUACGGGAGGCAGCAGUGGGGAAUAUUGCACAAUGGGCGCAAGCCUGAUGCAGCGACGCCGCGUGGGGGAUGAAGGCCUUCGGGUUGUAAACUCCUUUCGCUAGGGACGAAGCUUUUUGUGACGGUACCUAGAUAAGAAGCACCGGCUAACUACGUGCCAGCAGCCGCGGUAAUACGUAGGGUGCGAGCGUUGUCCGGAAUUACUGGGCGUAAAGGGCUCGUAGGUGGUUUGUCGCGUCGUCUGUGAAAUUCUGGGGCUUAACUCCGGGCGUGCAGGCGAUACGGGCAUAACUUGAGUGCUGUAGGGGUAACUGGAAUUCCUGGUGUAGCGGUGAAAUGCGCAGAUAUCAGGAGGAACACCGAUGGCGAAGGCAGGUUACUGGGCAGUUACUGACGCUGAGGAGCGAAAGCAUGGGUAGCGAACAGGAUUAGAUACCCUGGUAGUCCAUGCUGUAAACGGUGGGCGCUAGGUGUGAGGGUUUUUCUACGAUUCUCGUGCCGUAGCUAACGCAUUAAGCGCCCCGCCUGGGGAGUACGGCCGCAAGGCUAAAACUCAAAGGAAUUGACGGGGGCCCGCACAAGCGGCGGAGCAUGUGGAUUAAUUCGAUGCAACGCGAAGAACCUUACCUGGGCUUGACAUACAUCAGAUCGCUGCAGAGAUGUAGUUUCCCUUUUGUGGUUGGUGUACAGGUGGUGCAUGGUUGUCGUCAGCUCGUGUCGUGAGAUGUUGGGUUAAGUCCCGCAACGAGCGCAACCCUUGUCUUAUGUUGCCAGCAUUUGGUUGGGGACUCAUGAGAGACUGCCGGGGUUAACUCGGAGGAAGGUGGGGAUGACGUCAAAUCAUCAUGCCCCUUAUGUCCAGGGCUUCACACAUGCUACAAUGGUCGGUACAACGCGUUGCGACACUGUGAGGUGGAGCGAAUCGCUGAAAGCCGGUCUUAGUUCGGAUUGGGGUCUGCAACUCGACCCCAUGAAGUCGGAGUCGCUAGUAAUCGCAGAUCAGCAAUGCUGCGGUGAAUACGUUCCCGGGCCUUGUACACACCGCC